GAUGAAGAACGUAGCGAAAUGCGAUAAGUAAUGUGAAUUGCAGAAUUUAGUGAAUCAUCGAAUCUUUGAACGCACAUUGCGCCCGCCAGUAUUCUGGCGAGCAUGCCUGUUCGAGCGUCAUUUCAACCAUCAAGCCCCAGGCUUGUGUUGGAGCCCUGCGGCUGCCGCAGCCUCCCAAAACCAGUGGCGGGCUCGCUAUCACACCGAGUGCAGUAGUUUACUCUUCGCUCAGGGCGUGUGGCGGGUGCUAGCCGUGAAACCCCCAACUUCUCAAGGUUGACCUCGGAUCAGGUAGGAAUACCCGCUGAACUUAAGCAUAUCAAUAAGCGGAGGA
RNAcentral lists this unclassified non-coding RNA (334 nucleotides) under soil metagenome. RNAcentral's name for it is "partial contains 5.8S ribosomal RNA, internal transcribed spacer 2, and large subunit ribosomal RNA". The stretch from base 1 to 120 matches the Rfam family "5.8S ribosomal RNA", at positions 35 to 154 of the family's 154-position model. The record is from RNAcentral.